This 558-nucleotide long non-coding RNA is filed under the name Parus major (Great Tit). RNAcentral's name for it is "lncRNA (ENSPMJG00000008171.1)". The record is from RNAcentral. Lineage: Eukaryota; Metazoa; Chordata; Aves; Passeriformes; Paridae.
GAGCUGAAUAUUUGAGAGCAACAUGAAGACUAAAUACUCUCACAUAUUCCUGGUGUCAAAAAUUCUUGUGUGGCAAGGAAACAGCAGUACAUCUCCUGAUCUCCAGACAGCAUGGGAACAGCUGAAUCAUCCAGUCCUUCUGUCCUCUUGUUUGUCACAUACAGAAACACCUUACUGCUUCCUGCAUAUGAAGAAGUGUAUUUUUUAAGAUGGAUCCCACUUCCUUUAGGUCUACUGAAAGAAGCAAAAAAGCUGUCUUGCACACAGGCAAGUCUGUUCUCUGUGAACAGUUACAGAAACUUCCCAAUGCACUUCCUCUGAAUCCAAGUCUUCCUUGAGACUGUCAUUAGCAUUUGCCAGCUGAGUCAAGUUCCAAUGGUAAUAGCUUUUCUUCAGGAAUUAUUUAUACACUGACAGGAAAACUACAUCCUUCUUCUCUAACAUCUUGAGACUCUCAAUGAAAAAAGAAGAAGUUUCAGUUCUGUGUAUAUUUUAUAUAUCUUACUGUCAAAUUCAAAAAAUGGGGUUUGUGAAUGGUUUCUCUGAAUAAAAAUGGUA